CGGAAAGACCCCGUGAACCUUUACUAUAGCUUGACACUGAACAUUGAGCCUUGAUGUGUAGGAUAGGUGGGAGGCUUUGAAGCGUGGACGCCAGUCUGCGUGGAGCCAACCUUGAAAUACCACCCUUUAAUGUUUGAUGUUCUAACGUGGACCCGUAAUCCGGGUUGCGGACAGUGUCUGGUGGGUAGUUUGACUGGGGCGGUCUCCUCCUAAAGAGUAACGGAGGAGCACGAAGGUUGGCUAAUCCUGGUCGGACAUCAGGAGGUUAGUGCAAUGGCAUAAGCCAGCUUGACUGCGAGCGUGACGGCGCGAGCAGGUGCGAAAGCAGGUCAUAGUGAUCCGGUGGUUCUGAAUGGAAGGGCCAUCGCUCAACGGAUAAAAGGUACUCCGGGGAUAACAGGCUGAUACCGCCCAAGAGUUCAUAUCGACGGCGGUGUUUGGCACCUCGAUGUCGGCUCAUCACAUCCUGGGGCUGAAGUAGGUCCCAAGGGUAUGGCUGUUCGCCAUUUAAAGUGGUACGCGAGCUGGGUUUAGAACGUCGUGAGACAGUUCGGUCCCUAUCUGCCGUGGGCGCUGGAGAACUGAGGGGGGCUGCUCCUAGUACGAGAGGACCGGAGUGGACGCAUCACUGGUGUUCGGGUUGUCAUGCCAAUGGCACUGCCCGGUAGCUAAAUGCGGAAGAGAUAAGUGCUGAAAGCAUCUAAGCACGAAACUUGCCCCGA
This 722-nucleotide ribosomal RNA is filed under the name Salmonella enterica subsp. enterica serovar Worthington. RNAcentral describes it as "partial 23S ribosomal RNA". It matches the Rfam family "Bacterial large subunit ribosomal RNA", at positions 2081 to 2802 of the family's 2925-position model. The record is from RNAcentral. Lineage: Bacteria; Pseudomonadati; Pseudomonadota; Gammaproteobacteria; Enterobacterales; Enterobacteriaceae.